Molecule: ribosomal RNA, 498 nt
Filed under: uncultured bacterium
Lineage: Bacteria
Description: bacterial SSU rRNA
Rfam family: Bacterial small subunit ribosomal RNA
Source: RNAcentral
GGCGUCAGAUUAAACGACUGGCGGCAUGCCUUACACAUGCAAGUCGAACGGCAGCACGGGGGCGAACCCUCGGUGGCGGAGUGGCGGACGGGUGAGUAAAGCAUCGGAACGUAUCCUGGAGUGGGGGAGUAACGUAGCGAAAGUUACGCUAAUACCGCAUAUUCUGUGAGCAGGAAAGCAGGGGAUCGCAAGACCUUGCGCUCUGGGAGCGGCCGAUGUCGGAUUAGCUAGUUGGUGGGGUAAAGGCCUACCAAGGCGACGAUCCGUAGCGGGUCUGAGAGGAUGAUCCGCCACACUGGGACUGAGACACGGCCCAGACUCCUACGGGAGGCAGCAGUGGGGAAUUUUUGGACAAUGGGCGCAAGCCUGAUCCAGCCAUGCCGCGUGAGUGAAGAAGGCCUUCGGGUUGUAAAGCUCUUUCGGCGGGGAAGAAAUUGCACGGGUUAAUACCCUGUGUAGAUGACGGUACCCGAAUAAGAAGCACCGGCUAACUACGUG